This 254-nucleotide ribosomal RNA is filed under the name uncultured bacterium. Its description in RNAcentral is "partial 16S ribosomal RNA". It matches the Rfam family "Bacterial small subunit ribosomal RNA", at positions 526 to 779 of the family's 1533-position model. The record is from RNAcentral.
CGGAGGGUGCAAGCGUUAAUCGGAAUUACUGGGCGUAAAGCGCACGCAGGCGGUUGAUUAAGUCAGAUGUGAAAUCCCCGAGCUUAACUUGGGAACUGCAUUUGAAACUGGUCAGCUAGAGUCUUGUAGAGGGGGGUAGAAUUCCAGGUGUAGCGGUGAAAUGCGUAGAGAUCUGGAGGAAUACCGGUGGCGAAGGCGGCCCCCUGGACAAAGACUGACGCUCAGGUGCGAAAGCGUGGGGAGCAAACAGGAUU